GGCCUCGUAGCUCAGUUGGCUAGAGCGUUGGCUGUACUAAAGCCUUCACCUUGCUGGCGUGGGUUCGAAUCCCACAGAUGCCG
This is a non-coding RNA of Schistocephalus solidus, 83 nucleotides long. The record is from Rfam. Lineage: Eukaryota; Metazoa; Platyhelminthes; Cestoda; Diphyllobothriidea; Diphyllobothriidae.